UACGGGGGGCGCAAGCGUUGUUCGGAUUUACUGGGCGUAAAGGGCGCGUAGGCGGUCAGCACAAGUCAGUUGUGAAAUCUCCGGGCUUAACUCGGAAAGGUCAACUGAUACUGUGCGACUAGAGUGCAGAAGGGGCAACUGGAAUUCUCGGUGUAGCGGUGAAAUGCGUAGAUAUCGAGAGGAACACCUGCGGCGAAGGCGGGUUGCUGGGCUGACACUGACGCUGAUGCGCGAAAGCCAGGGGAGCGAACGGG
This 254-nucleotide ribosomal RNA is filed under the name uncultured bacterium. RNAcentral describes it as "partial 16S ribosomal RNA". It matches the Rfam family "Bacterial small subunit ribosomal RNA", at positions 524 to 776 of the family's 1533-position model. The record is from RNAcentral.